GACGAACCGUGCGAACGUUAUUCGGAAUCACUGGGCUUAAAGCGCGUGUAGGCGGAUGGGAACGUCGGUAGUUGAAAGCCCCCGGCUCAACCGGGGAAGUGGUGCCGAAACGACCCGUCUGGAGGGACGUAGGGGGACCUGGAACUUCCGGUGGAGCGGUGAAAUGCGUUGAGAUCGGAAGGAACGCCCGUGGCGAAAGCGAGGUCCUGGACGUCUACUGACGCUGAGGCGCGAAAGCUAGGGGAGCAAACAGG
RNAcentral lists this ribosomal RNA (254 nucleotides) under uncultured bacterium. RNAcentral describes it as "partial 16S ribosomal RNA". It matches the Rfam family "Bacterial small subunit ribosomal RNA", at positions 524 to 776 of the family's 1533-position model. The record is from RNAcentral.